RNAcentral lists this ribosomal RNA (253 nucleotides) under uncultured bacterium. RNAcentral describes it as "partial 16S ribosomal RNA". It matches the Rfam family "Bacterial small subunit ribosomal RNA", at positions 524 to 776 of the family's 1533-position model. The record is from RNAcentral.
UACGAAGGGGGCUAGCGUUGCUCGGAAUCACUGGGCGUAAAGCGCACGUAGGCGGCUUUUUAAGUCAGAGGUGAAAUCCUGGAGCUCAACUCCAGAACUGCCUUUGAUACUGGAGAGCUUGAGUCCGGGAGAGGUGAGUGGAACUGCGAGUGUAGAGGUGAAAUUCGUAGAUAUUCGCAAGAACACCAGAGGCGAAGGCGGCUCACUGGCCCGGUACUGACGCUGAGGUGCGAAAGCGUGGGGAGCAAACAGG